UAUGCAUGAAUACAUAAUACACAAUUGGAUAAAUAGAGAGAGAGAGGGAGAGAAUGAAUACAUACAAUAUAUACAUAGUCUAAAUAAAUAUUAUAGAUAGAUAUAAUAUAUACAUAAAUUACAUAAUAAGUAAUAUAAACAUAAUAAAUAAAUAAUACACAUAUUCUAAAAAAAUAUAUAUACACACAUUUACAGACUGAGCCCUACAACCUACUGCCACCUGAAUGCUGCUGUGCCAAUCCUUCGAUUGUAUUUCGAAGAUGGAUCUGACCUCCGUCCAAACCUCCGGCUUUCACGACAGUCCAUCAUGUCCCUCAUCGCUGCUUUGAAGUCAGAUUCUGACCAUGGCUGGGAAAAAGAUGUUGAGGUGCUGGUGUUUCUCUACUGGCUGGCCCACGCAGCAUCGUACAGGCUGGUGUCACUGGGCUUUGACAUCCCAAAGUCCACGGUGCAUGACAUUGUGCCCAGAAUCAGCAGGGCAGUCAUCAGAAUUCUGAGGAGGCUGAUCGCUUUCCCGACCCUGGAUGACCUGGAGGCAGGUUUUGCGCAGCUGGCUGGGUCUCCAGUUUUCCACAUGGUAGCUGGUGCAAUAGACGGAUGCCACAUCCGGAUCAAGCCACCAGCAAGUGAUGCCCCAUGCUAUUGUAAUAGGAAGCUGUUCCACUCUGUUCAGCUGCAGGCCAUCACUGACCACGAGGGGAAGUUCCUCGUUAUCCCGGGUCUGAAAAGCGCAAUAUCAAGACAGUCAAUUACAUUCAUUAGAUUACUGCAUUACUAUGACAUGGAAAAACAAUAGCAUGAUCAAAUCAUGCGCUAAUAAAAAUUUUGGGGUGAACUAAUAAUAAAAAAAAAUCUUACUGUAUAUUUUUGUUUUAGGUUCUCCCGCUUUCUUUUGACUUGAGCGGCAGAAAUCAUGGCAUUGUGCACAGAAUCAGCAGGGCAGUCAUCAGUGUUUUGAGGAGGCUGAUCGCUUUCCUGACCCCGGAUGACCUGGAGGCAGUGGGGGCAGGUUUUGCGCAGCUGGCUGGGUCUCCAGUUUUCCACAUGGUAGCUGGUGCAAUAGACGGAUGCCACAUCCGGAUCAAGCCACCAGCAAGUGAUGCCCCAUGCUAUUGUAAUAGGAAGCUGUUCCACUGUUCAGCUGCAGGCCAUCACCGACCACGAGGGGAACUUCCUCCAUAUCUUCGUUGGAUAUCCCGGGUCUGGAAAGCACAAUAUCAAGACAUUAGCAUUAGCUAAAAAACAUUAGCAUCAUCAAAUCAUGAACUAAUAAAAAUUUUGGGGUUAACUAAUUAAAAAAAAUAAUCUUACUUUAUAUUUUUGUUUUAGGUUCUCCCACUUUCUUUUGACUUGAGCAGCAGAAAUUUUGCCCUCAAGUCCCUGCUCUGUCACAAUAAAUGCACAGAAAUCAAGCAUAAAAAGAAGGCAGUAAGACCUUUGCUUGAAGUGUUAGUAUUUACUACGUUCAGUGUCAACAGCACCUGAAUAAAAGUACAUUUGACAUAACUUGUUUACUUACUCAAAACCUCUGAUGGCAGCAUUACGCUUUCCAGUGAAGAGGGCUUCAUCAGCCACUCUCCACUGAAUAAGGAGCUGAGUGUGUUCAUCAGUCCCUGUAAUGUCAAAGCAGUAACCAUUAGUCAUUAUCAAUCCAUUAAUGCUACAUUGACAAGCUGUGGCAUAUUUAUUAACAGUAGCUUAGUAUGUAGCUAACAA
Molecule: long non-coding RNA, 1716 nt
Organism: Sinocyclocheilus anshuiensis
Lineage: Eukaryota; Metazoa; Chordata; Actinopteri; Cypriniformes; Cyprinidae
Source: Ensembl